UUUGAUCCUGGCUCAGGACGAACGCUGGCGGCGUGCUUAACACAUGCAAGUCGAGCGGUAAGGCCUUUCGGGGUACACGAGCGGCGAACGGGUGAGUAACACGUGGGUGAUCUGCCCUGCACUUCGGGAUAAGCCUGGGAAACUGGGUCUAAUACCGGAUAUGACCUCCUAUCGCAUGGUGGGUGGUGGAAAGAUUUAUCGGUGCAGGAUGGGCCCGCGGCCUAUCAGCUUGUUGGUGGGGUAAUGGCCUACCAAGGCGACGACGGGUAGCCGACCUGAGAGGGUGACCGGCCACACUGGGACUGAGACACGGCCCAGACUCCUACGGGAGGCAGCAGUGGGGAAUAUUGCACAAUGGGCGAAAGCCUGAUGCAGCGACGCCGCGUGAGGGAUGACGGCCUUCGGGUUGUAAACCUCUUUCAGCAGGGACGAAGCGCAAGUGACGGUACCUGCAGAAGAAGCACCGGCUAACUACGUGCCAGCAGCCGCGGUAAUACGUAGGGUGCAAGCGUUGUCCGGAAUUACUGGGCGUAAAGAGUUCGUAGGCGGUUUGUCGCGUCGUUUGUGAAAACCAGCAGCUCAACUGCUGGCUUGCAGGCGAUACGGGCAGACUUGAGUACUGCAGGGGAGACUGGAAUUCCUGGUGUAGCGGUGAAAUGCGCAGAUAUCAGGAGGAACACCGGUGGCGAAGGCGGGUCUCUGGGCAGUAACUGACGCUGAGGAACGAAAGCGUGGGUAGCGAACAGGAUUAGAUACCCUGGUAGUCCACGCCGUAACGGUGGGCGCUAGGUGUGGGUUCCUUCCACGGAAUCCGUGCCGUAGCUAACGCAUUAAGCGCCCCGCCUGGGGAGUACGGCCGAAGGCUAAAACUCAAAGGAAUUGACGGGGGCCCGC
This 894-nucleotide ribosomal RNA is filed under the name Rhodococcus sp. SA11-01. RNAcentral describes it as "bacterial SSU rRNA". It matches the Rfam family "Bacterial small subunit ribosomal RNA", at positions 12 to 924 of the family's 1533-position model. Lineage: Bacteria; Bacillati; Actinomycetota; Actinomycetes; Mycobacteriales; Nocardiaceae. The record is from RNAcentral.